This 498-nucleotide ribosomal RNA is filed under the name uncultured bacterium. RNAcentral describes it as "partial 16S ribosomal RNA". It matches the Rfam family "Bacterial small subunit ribosomal RNA", at positions 28 to 507 of the family's 1533-position model. The record is from RNAcentral.
GACGAACGCUGGCGGCGUGCCUAAUACAUGCAAGUCGAACGAGAGCGACCGGUGCUUGCACUGGUCAAUCUAGUGGCGAACGGGUGAGUAACACGUGGGUAACCUGCCCAUCAGAGGGGGAUAACAUCCGGAAACGGAUGCUAAAACCGCAUAGGUCUUCGAGCCGCAUGGCUUGAAGAGGAAAAGAGGCGCAAGCUUCUGCUGAUGGAUGGACCCGCGGUGCAUUGGCUAGUUGGUGAGGUAACGGCUCACCAAGGCCGUGAUGCAUAGCCGACCUGAGAGGGUGAUCGGCCACAUUGGGACUGAGACACGGCCCAAACUCCUACGGGAGGCAGCAGUAGGGAAUCUUCCGCAAUGGACGCAAGUCUGACGGAGCAACGCCGCGUGAGUGAAGAAGGUUUUCGGAUCGUAAAACUCUGUUGUUAGAGAAGAACAAGUGCUAGAGUAACUGUUAGCGCCUUGACGGUAUCAAACCAGAAAGCCACGGCUAACUACGUG